RNAcentral lists this long non-coding RNA (213 nucleotides) under Homo sapiens (human). Its description in RNAcentral is "HSALNT0059429". The record is from RNAcentral. Lineage: Eukaryota; Metazoa; Chordata; Mammalia; Primates; Hominidae.
GAAUGCUGUGCACACAAUAGACAUAAGAGGUGCUUAAAUAUUGACGGGAGGAAGAGAGGGAAGGAAACAAGGAAGGAUAAAUUCUUAUUCAGCAUCUCUCAUGAAGCUUGUGGUGAAACAAUGAACAGCAACUACAUGAGUCAGAGAGAGAAGGUUUGGCUCUCAGGAAGGAAAUGAAAGGAAAGAGGGAAGCCUCUUAAGACGUACUGGAGA